GAUGAAGAACGUAGCGAAAUGCGAUAAGUAAUGUGAAUUGCAGAAUUCAGUGAAUCAUCGAAUCUUUGAACGCACCUUGCACCCUUUGGCAUUCCGAAGGGUAUGCUCGUUUGAGUGUCAUUGUACUCUCACACUUCCAAUCUUUGGAUUGGGAGCAGUGGACUUGGGUGUUGCUGCUUACUGUGGCUCACCUCAAAUCGAUUCGUGCACCUCUUGGUUGGACAUAGUACGGCGUGAUAAGUGUCUUCGCCGGCACCUCAGUAGAGGGUGGCUGAUCAGGAGCUCUGUGCUUCAGACCGUCCUCGGACAACAACUGACAACUUGACCUCAAAUCGAGUAGGACUACCCGCUGAACUUAAGCAUAUCAAUAAGCGGAGGA
Molecule: unclassified non-coding RNA, 379 nt
Filed under: soil metagenome
Description: partial contains 5.8S ribosomal RNA, internal transcribed spacer 2, and large subunit ribosomal RNA
Rfam family: 5.8S ribosomal RNA (bases 1-120)
Source: RNAcentral